This 232-nucleotide long non-coding RNA is filed under the name Phoenix dactylifera (date palm). RNAcentral describes it as "long non-coding RNA (PDAC_LNC010412)". Lineage: Eukaryota; Viridiplantae; Streptophyta; Magnoliopsida; Arecales; Arecaceae. The record is from RNAcentral.
ACCCUGAACCAGGGUUAGGGUAGCUUAAGUAAUUUUUACCAGUUAUGAAGCAUCUUCAUGAUUUUAACCUAGUUUAUUAUGAGCAUCUGAAUGCACAUGAAAGGUGAGGGAAUAUCAAAAUUUUAUGAUGUAAAUUGGAUGGAAACUUUCCAGGAAGUUUGAUUCAAAAUCAUUUCAAAAAUGUCGGGAUUUCAGCUGUUACAGAAAAUUUUACGGUUCCACAGAUUGAGAG